Molecule: ribosomal RNA, 497 nt
Filed under: uncultured bacterium
Lineage: Bacteria
Description: partial 16S ribosomal RNA
Rfam family: Bacterial small subunit ribosomal RNA
Source: RNAcentral
GAUGAACGCUGGCGGCGUGCCUAAUACAUGCAAGUCGAGCGAACGGACGAGAAGCUUGCUUCUCUGAUGUUAGCGGCGGACGGGUGAGUAACACGUGGAUAACCUACCUAUAAGACUGGGAUAACUUCGGGAAACCGGAGCUAAUACCGGAUAAUAUUUUGAACCGCAUGGUUCAAAAGUGAAAGACGGUCUUGCUGUCACUUAUAGAUGGAUCCGCGCUGCAUUAGCUAGUUGGUAAGGUAACGGCUUACCAAGGCAACGAUGCAUAGCCGACCUGAGAGGGUGAUCGGCCACACUGGAACGGGGACACGGUCCAGACUCCUACGGGAGGCAGCAGUAGGGAAUCUUCCGCAAAGGGCGAAAGCCUGACGGAGCAACGCCGCGUGAGUGAUGAAGGUCUUCGGAUCGUAAAACUCUUUUAUUAGGGAAGAACAUAUGUGUAAGUAACUGUGCGCAUCUUGACGGUACCUAAUCAGAAAGCCACGGCUAACUACGUG